CGCGUAGGCGGCCGGACGUGUCGGGUGUGAAAUCCAUGGGCCCAACCCAUGAAGUGCGCCCGAAACUGCCCGGCUCGAGAGCGGGAGGGGAGAUCGGAAUGCAUGGUGUAGCGGUGAAAUGCGUUGAUAUCAUGCAGAACACCGGUGGCGAAGGCGGAUCUCUGGAACGCAUCUGACGCUGAGGCGCGAAAGCAGGGGGGAGCAAACAG
This 209-nucleotide ribosomal RNA is filed under the name uncultured bacterium. RNAcentral's name for it is "partial 16S ribosomal RNA". It matches the Rfam family "Bacterial small subunit ribosomal RNA", at positions 568 to 775 of the family's 1533-position model. The record is from RNAcentral.